This 273-nucleotide ribosomal RNA is filed under the name unidentified marine bacterioplankton. Its description in RNAcentral is "partial 16S ribosomal RNA". It matches the Rfam family "Bacterial small subunit ribosomal RNA", at positions 65 to 339 of the family's 1533-position model. The record is from RNAcentral.
AGGGGUAUAUAGUGCUUGCACUAUAGAGACCGGCGCACGGGUGCGUAACGCGUAUGCAAUCUACCUUAUACAGAGGAAUAGCCCAGGGAAACUUGGAUUAAUGCCCCAUAGUAUCAUUAAGUAGCAUUACUUGAUGAUUAAAGAUCUAUCGGUAUAAGAUGAGCAUGCGUCCCAUUAGUUAGUUGGUAAGGUAACGGCUUACCAAGACAGCGAUGGGUAGGGGCCCUGAGAGGGGGAUCCCCCACACUGGUACUGAGACACGGACCAGACUCC